GAGUUUGAUCCUGGCUCAGAAUGAACGCUGGCGGCAGGCCUAACACAUGCAAGUCGAACGGAGUUAUAUUGUAGCUUGCUAUGGUAUAACUUAGUGGCAGACGGGUGAGUAAUGUAUAGGAAUCUACCUAGUAGUACGGAAUAAUUGUUGGAAACGGCAACUAAUACCGUAUACGCCCUACGGGGGAAAAAUUUAUUGCUAUUAGAUGAGCCUAUAUUAGAUUAGUUAGUUGGUGAGGUAAAGGCUUACCAAGACAAUGAUCUAUAGCUGAUCUGAGAGGAUGAUCAGCCACACUGGAACUGAGAUACGGUCCAGACUCCUACGGGAGG
This 329-nucleotide ribosomal RNA is filed under the name uncultured Hyphomicrobiales bacterium. Its description in RNAcentral is "bacterial SSU rRNA". It matches the Rfam family "Bacterial small subunit ribosomal RNA", at positions 9 to 348 of the family's 1533-position model. Lineage: Bacteria; Pseudomonadati; Pseudomonadota; Alphaproteobacteria; Hyphomicrobiales. The record is from RNAcentral.